Molecule: ribosomal RNA, 465 nt
Filed under: uncultured bacterium
Lineage: Bacteria
Description: partial 16S ribosomal RNA
Rfam family: Bacterial small subunit ribosomal RNA
Source: RNAcentral
CCUACGGGAGGCUGCAGUAGGGAAUCUUCGGCAAUGGACGAAAGUCUGACCGAGCAACGCCGCGUGAGUGAAGAAGGUUUUCGGAUCGUAAAACUCUUUUUGUAGAGAAGAACGUUGGUGAGAGGGUAAAGCUCAUCAAGUGACGGUAACUACCCAGAAAGGGACGUCUAACUACGUGCCAGCAGCCGCGGUAAUACGUAGGUCCCGAGCGUUGUCCGGAUUUAUUGGGCGUAAAGCGAGGUCAGGUGGUUUAUUAAGUCUGGUGUAAAAGGCAGUGGCUCAACCAUUGUAUGCAUUGGAAACUGGUAGACUUGAGUGCAGGAGAGGAGAGUGGAAUUCGAGGUGUAGCGGUGAAAUGCGUAGAUAUAGGGAGGAACACCGGUGGCGAAAGCGGCUCUCUGGCCUGUAACUGACACUGAGGCUCGAAAGCGUGGGGAGCGAACAGGAUUAGAUACCCUUGUAGUC